CCCUUAGAUGUUCUGGGCCGCACGCGCGCUACACUGAUACGUUCAUCAAGUUUUACGUUCCUUGGCUGUGAGGCCUGGGCAAUCUUUGAAAUCGUAUCGUGCUGGGGAUAGAUUAUUGGAAUUAUUAAUCUUCAACGAGGAAUUCCUAGUAAACGCAAGUCAUCAGCUUGCAUUGAUUACGUCCCUGCCCUUUGUACACACCGCCCGUCGCUACUACCGAUUGAAUGUUUUAGUGAGUUGCAGGGAUUGUGGGUCUUCGGCUUGCCGUUUUCUCGCGAGAACUGUUGCUAACUUGAGCAUUUAGAGGAAGUAAAAGUCGUAACA
This 324-nucleotide ribosomal RNA is filed under the name uncultured eukaryote. RNAcentral describes it as "partial 18S ribosomal RNA". It matches the Rfam family "Eukaryotic small subunit ribosomal RNA", at positions 1470 to 1796 of the family's 1831-position model. The record is from RNAcentral.